GGCAGCGUAGCUCAGUGGAAAGAGCACGGGCUUGGGAGUCAAAGGUCAUGGGUUCGAAUCCUGGCUCUGCCA
RNAcentral lists this transfer RNA (72 nucleotides) under Ornithorhynchus anatinus (platypus). It matches the Rfam family "tRNA". From Rfam's summary of the family: Transfer RNA (tRNA) molecules are approximately 80 nucleotides in length. Their secondary structure includes four short double-helical elements and three loops (D, anti-codon, and T loops). Lineage: Eukaryota; Metazoa; Chordata; Mammalia; Monotremata; Ornithorhynchidae. The record is from Rfam by way of RNAcentral.